RNAcentral lists this ribosomal RNA (446 nucleotides) under uncultured bacterium. Its description in RNAcentral is "bacterial SSU rRNA". It matches the Rfam family "Bacterial small subunit ribosomal RNA", at positions 330 to 793 of the family's 1533-position model. The record is from RNAcentral.
UCCAGACUCCUACGGGAGGCAGCAGUAGGGAAUUUUGCGCAAUGGGCGAAAGCCUGACGCAGCAACACCGCGUGAAUGUUAAGCCCUUCGGGGUGUAAAGUUCUGUCAAUAGGGACGAAUUUUGACUGUACCUAUAAAGGAAGCACCGGCUAACUCCGUGCCAGCAGCCGCGGUAAUACGGGGGGUGCAAGCGUUGUCCGGAUUUACUGGGUGUAAAGGGAGCGUAGACGGUGAGACAAGUCUGAAGUGAAAGCCCGGGGCUCAACCCCGGGACUGCUUUGGAAACUGCCUGACUGGAGUGCUGGAGAGGCAAGCGGAAUUCCUAGUGUAGCGGUGAAAUGCGUAGAUAUUAGGAAGAACACCAGUGGCGAAGGCGGCUUGCUGGACAGUAACUGACGUUGAGGCUCGAAAGCGUGGGGAGCAAACAGGAUUAGAUACCCCUGUAA